This 21-nucleotide small nuclear RNA is filed under the name Arabidopsis thaliana (thale cress). RNAcentral describes it as "snRNA_18847". Lineage: Eukaryota; Viridiplantae; Streptophyta; Magnoliopsida; Brassicales; Brassicaceae. The record is from RNAcentral.
GUGAAAUGACUUGAGAGGUGU